This 496-nucleotide ribosomal RNA is filed under the name uncultured bacterium. Its description in RNAcentral is "partial 16S ribosomal RNA". It matches the Rfam family "Bacterial small subunit ribosomal RNA", at positions 28 to 506 of the family's 1533-position model. The record is from RNAcentral.
GAUGAACGCUGGCGGCGUGCCUAAUACAUGCAAGUCGAGCGAACAGACGAGGAGCUUGCUCCUCUGACGUUAGCGGCGGACGGGUGAGUAAUACGUGGAUAACCUACCUAUAAGACUGGGAUAACUUCGGGAAACCGGAGCUAAUACCGGAUAAUAUAUUGAACCGCAUGGUUCAAUAGUGAAAGACGGUUUUGCUGUCACUUAUAGAUGGAUCCGCGCCGCAUUAGCUAGUUGGUAAGGUAACGGCUUACCAAGGCAACGAUGCGUAGCCGACCUGAGAGGGUGAUCGGCCACACUGGAACUGAGACACGGUCCAGACUCCUACGGGAGGCAGCAGUAGGGAAUCUUCCGCAAUGGGCGAAAGCCUGACGGAGCAACGCCGCGUGAGUGAUGAAGGUCUUCGGAUCGUAAAACUCUGUUAUUAGGGAAGAACAAAUGUGUAAGUAACUAUGCACGUCUGGACGGUACCUAAUCAGAAAGCCACGGCUAACUACGU